RNAcentral lists this unclassified non-coding RNA (1022 nucleotides) under uncultured Prochlorococcus sp. RNAcentral's name for it is "partial contains 16S ribosomal RNA, 16S-23S ribosomal RNA intergenic spacer, tRNA-Ile, tRNA-Ala, and 23S ribosomal RNA". The stretch from base 1 to 288 matches the Rfam family "Bacterial small subunit ribosomal RNA", at positions 1245 to 1533 of the family's 1533-position model. Lineage: Bacteria; Bacillati; Cyanobacteriota; Cyanophyceae; Synechococcales; Prochlorococcaceae. The record is from RNAcentral.
GGCACCAACUCGCGAUACUAGCAAAUCCCAUAAACCGUGGCUCAGUUCAGAUCGUAGGCUGCAACUCGCCUACGUGAAGUAGGAAUCGCUAGUAAUCGCAGGUCAGCAUACUGCGGUGAAUACGUUCCCGGGCCUUGUACACACCGCCCGUCACACCAUGGAAGUUGGCCAUGCCCGAAGUCGUUACUCCAACCCUUGUGGAGGAGGACGUCGAAGGUGGGGCUAAUGACUGGGGUGAAGUCGUAACAAGGUAGCCGUACCGGAAGGUGCGGCUGGAUCACCUCCUAACAGGGAGACAACAAAAUGUUUAAUAUUAUUAUUUUGUCACCUUAGGUCGAUCGGUAUCUCACGUUCUUAAUUUGUUAAGAAUUUCAUUUCCUAAGUUUUUCUAGGUCACACCCAUUAUUUUUCCUGGGCCAUUAGCUCAGGUGGUUAGAGCGCACCCCUGAUAAGGGUGAGGUCCCUGGUUCAAGUCCAGGAUGGCCCAUAUCUCUAUGUUGGGGGUAUAGCUCAGUUGGUAGAGCGCCUGCUUUGCAAGCAGGAUGUCAGCGGUUCGAGUCCGCUUACCUCCACUGAUUACCACCUCUUACAUAACUGGUAAAAAGGAAAUGUUUUGAGUUGUGAUCAUUAUUCUGAACGAAUCUAGCUUCCUAAUGAAAUCAUUAAGAUGCUGGACUCAUUGAAUUAAUUUCAUUGUUUUCAGAGAACCUUGACAACUGCAUAGAUUAUUUUUAAAGACAAUAAGCAUCUUUAAUGAUGCAGAUUUAUUAUUUGUGCGAAUNCAUUAAUAANAAUUCUAUUAAGCUGAUGCUUCAAUUUUUUGAAGUUAUUGGUCAAGCUACAAAGGGCUCACGGAGGAUACCUAGGCACACAGAGGCGAUGAAGGACGUGGUUACCUGCGAUAAGUCUCGGGGAGUUGGAAGCACACUUUGAUCCGGGAAUUUCCGAAUGGGGCAACCCCAUGUACGGCCAACUGAAUAUAUAGGUUGGUGCGAGCUAACCCAGCGAACUGAAACAUCUGU